AGAGGAGGGAAUGGGCAGAGUGGGUGGGCUCUCUGAUUGACGUCUCUCACAGCCAAUCCAAAUAUUUCUGGAGUAACAUGAGUUUCCUGAAGCUUGGGAAACUGACCGGUGAAAUGGAGGCGACUUUGAGCAGCAGAUCAGAAGAAGAGAGCACAGAAGUGCAGCGAGAAGUAGAGAACUGGCAGGGCGAGUUCUGCAGUGACAGGCACCUUGACGACACAGUCCCUACAGGAAGUGAACCAGCUGUGGAAGAGGAAGAGGAGAGAAUGAGCAGAGUGGGUGGGCUCUCUGAUUGACAUCUCUCACAGCCAAUCCAAAUAUUUCUGGAGCAACAUGAGUUUCCUGAAGUUUGGGAACCUGACCAGUGAAACAGAGGCGACUUUGAGCAGCAGAUCAGGUGGGGAUUUAAACUUGUCAUUGUCCCAUCUGAAUAAAACCUCACUUAUUGCAGCUGCUGUCUCAGUUCGCCCUGGUAAACGUUUGACAGAGAUUUAUAGUGUGGAAAUAGCAUUCUUUAUCCUUGGAGGCUUUCAAACUGACAACAUCAGUGUGGGAUGUGU
This is a long non-coding RNA of Carcharodon carcharias (great white shark), 560 nucleotides long. RefSeq lists it as uncharacterized. Lineage: Eukaryota; Metazoa; Chordata; Chondrichthyes; Lamniformes; Lamnidae. The transcript is spliced from 3 exons. The record is from RefSeq and is a predicted model, not a curated record.